CCUGCGGAAGGAUCAUUUCUGAAGGCUUUUUGCCAAAACCACUGUGAACAGCUUAGACUUCGGUCUUUGCAAUUGCUUGGGUGUCGAAAGGCGCCCAAUCUUUAAAACUUUUAUAUUUGUUCUGAAACAAUGAAAAUUUAAAACUUUCAACAACGGAUCUCUUGGUUCUCGUAUCGAUGAAGAACGCAGCAAAGCGCGAUAGGUAAUGCGAAUUGCAGACGUGAGUCAUUGAAUUUUUGAACGCAUAUUGCGCUAUUAGUUUGUCUAAUAGCAUGCUUGUUGGAGUGAUAAUCUUCCUCUCAACCAUUUUUGGUAUGAGGUCUUGCUCCUUUUAGGAGUUAAAAUCAUGGAAGUGCACACGUUAAUUAACUCUGUGCAGUUAUACACUUUUCAUCCUCCAAUCAAGCAAGGUUACCCGCUGAACUUAAGCAUAUCAAUAAGCGGAGGAAA
Molecule: ribosomal RNA, 450 nt
Filed under: Starmerella bacillaris
Lineage: Eukaryota; Fungi; Ascomycota; Dipodascomycetes; Dipodascales; Trichomonascaceae
Description: eukaryotic LSU rRNA
Rfam family: 5.8S ribosomal RNA (bases 142-290)
Source: RNAcentral